UCUCUCUCUCUCUCUCUCUCUCUCAAGUUAGCUUAGUGGUAGUGGUAGUAAUAACAGUAGGAGUAGUAGCAUUAGUAGUAGCAGGAACACCACACACUUAACACUCCCAACUCUCCCUUCCAGACCCUAGUAGUAGCAGCAGUAGUAGUAGUAUUAACACUAACCACUCAUUAUUUCUCUACUGGUGAUCUCUGGCUUUCCUUACUGAGUCUUGGUCAUCCUCUUUUAGAGAUUUUGGUGAAACUUUUGCUGUUGCCUUGGACAUAUCAAAAGCUUUUGAUAGAGUCUGGCACAAAGCUUUGAUUUCCAAACUACCCUCCUACGGCUUCUAUCCUUCUCUCUGUAACUUCAUCUCAAGUUUCCUUUCUGACCAUUCUAUUGAUGCUGUGGUAGACGGUCACUAUUCUUCUCCUAAAUCUAUUAACAGUGGUGUUCCUCAGGGUUCUGUCCUGUCACCCACUUUUCCUAUUAUUCAUCAGUGACUUUCUAAAACCAAACUUGUUGUCCUAUCCACUCCUAUACUGAUGAUACCACCCCGCACUUAUCCAUGUCUUUUCAUAGACAUCCAACCCUUCAGGAAGUAAACAGUUCACGCAGGGAAGCCACAGAACACCUCACUUCUGAUCUCUCAAAAAUUUCUGACUGGGGCAGACCAAACUAGUUAUUGUUUGCUGUCUAAAAAAAUCAAUUCUUCCAUCUAUCAACUCGACACAACCUUCCAGACAACUAUCCCCUCUUCUUCAAUGACACUCGGCUGUCCCCCUCUUCUACACUGCCACACUCCCCUGCCUGUUUUCCCUUGGUACAAGCUUCUCAUGUGAUGGCUCACCCAUAAUUUUCCUCACAUAAUGAGUCCUGGCAAGCUUGACAGUGAAGAAAAGUGUUGUGAUGGUAUUUGUUCAAGAAGGGAUCAGUAAUUGUGAGACAGGAAGGAAGAUGGCAAAUUCAGAAGCAGCCGUCACCCGGGUGGUGGACGGAGGCCGCUCACCCCCAGUCAUCCUGCAGCUCACAGGUCUCUUCUGACCAGGAGAAAGAUGGCGUGGCAAUUAAGUGUUCAAAGUGCAUGUGUUCCAUCAACUUAUUAUUCCUGUAUCUGUCUUCCUUUUUUGCCCUUAGCCUUUCUCUCAGGAGUGGCAGCUGUGCCCAGCACUAGUGUAGCCCUGGCCAACUGUGUCACGGCUGUCUUUGAUCUCCCUGUCUUCCUUCCAGCCCCACAGUUACUGACCUUGACUCAAACACCAUCACGGCACUCUCUUCCCUGUUAAACUUGCCGGGAUCCAUUGUAAUGUAAGGGGUAUUGAAUGUGAGCGAUGAAACGAGAAGGUAGUGGCAAGGGGGAAAAAAGUACAGGGGAGCGCAGGAGAGACACCUCUCUCCACUGUGCCUGACAGUCUCUCAGUGAUUGAAAGACUGAGCAUAACAUCUUCAGGGCACGUGGUAACACGGAGAGGAAGUGGAAGAAACCUUGGGACGCUCCCAUAACUCAGGAGCAAGAAGUAAACCUUACUGGAAACCUUGUGACUGACAGGUGGCGGUGACUGCAGGAACCAAUUCAGAUGUCUGUCUUGUGUUGGCGAACGUCCUGUCUGCAGUCAGGCCAGUAGUGCCAUGUCGCAGGGUGUGACAUCAGGUGAAGAACCAAAUGGAGAGUGUCUGCAGCUAGUACUGGGUGUGCUGAUGCUGUACAAGUGUCGAGCCAGGUGCCACAGCACAUGUCAGCUGACUCCACCAGUGUAGUGUCUCUAGUCCAGGAUGCACUGCUGUGUACGACUUGUAUGUCUUUGCUAAUAAAUAAAUAUUUGUGACUAUUCUUAUUAUAUAUGUGAAAUAAAUAUAAUAUUAUAGUUUGCUAACAGUGUGGUAUAAUAGUGUAAAAAUAAAUAUUUGAUAACAAUUCAUGCAUGCCCCAAAGGUAAAAAAAAAAAAAAAAACAGGAUUGUGCCCUCUAAACUUUUAAGAUACCACUUGCACAUAGAAGCCCCGUCGCAGCGACUCCAGUGUCGGCUGGGAUGGGGCUUCUAUGUGCAAAUGGUAUCUUAAACUUAGUUUAGUAGCCAAUCCUGACUUUUUUUUUUACCUUGGGGGCAUGACCUGUACUCCCAGAAAGACUUUGCCAAAGAUAUUAUUGACAUGGCAUAAAUAACUAUCAUUGUUUUUUUUACCUUGAGGGCAUGACCUGUACUCCCAGAAAGACUAUUUGCCAAAGAUAUUAUUGACAUGGUAUAAAUAACUAUCAUUAUGUUCAAGAUGGUAUACUGAAUGUUUAUUGUUUUAAUGUGAAUGUUAAGUGAAUAAAUACACAACAAUAAUAUAAA
Molecule: long non-coding RNA, 2315 nt
Organism: Scylla paramamosain (green mud crab)
Lineage: Eukaryota; Metazoa; Arthropoda; Malacostraca; Decapoda; Portunidae
Exons: 3
Source: RefSeq, a predicted model, not a curated record